UUCUUCGGGGCAGGGUGCAAGUCCCUACCGGCGGUAUAGUCCGCGAACACCGCGAUCCGGCUGUGGAUCAAGGUGAAUGAACCGGUGAGAUUCCGGUACCGACAGUAUAGUCUGGAUGAGAGAAGA
RNAcentral lists this non-coding RNA (126 nucleotides) under bovine gut metagenome. RNAcentral describes it as "FMN riboswitch (RFN element)". It matches the Rfam family "FMN riboswitch aptamer (RFN element)". From Rfam's summary of the family: The RFN element is a highly conserved domain that is found frequently in the 5'-untranslated regions of prokaryotic mRNAs that encode for flavin mononucleotide (FMN) biosynthesis and transport proteins. This element is a metabolite-dependent riboswitch that directly binds FMN in the absence of proteins. The record is from RNAcentral.